AUACGGAGGACUGCAAGCGUUAUCCGGAUUCAUUGGGUUUAAAGGGUGCGGCAGGCGGAUUGGUAAGUCAGGGGUGAAAUCCCACAGCUCAACUGUGGAACUGCCUUUGAUACUGUCAGUCUAGAGUAUAGUUGAAGUUGGCGGAAUGUGUCAUGUAGCGGUGAAAUGCUUAGAUAUGACACAGAACACCGAUCGCGAAGGCAGCUAGCUAAGCUAUAACUGACGCUCAUGCACGAAAGCGUGGGGAUC
Molecule: ribosomal RNA, 249 nt
Filed under: uncultured bacterium
Lineage: Bacteria
Description: partial 16S ribosomal RNA
Rfam family: Bacterial small subunit ribosomal RNA
Source: RNAcentral